This 442-nucleotide ribosomal RNA is filed under the name uncultured bacterium. RNAcentral's name for it is "partial 16S ribosomal RNA". It matches the Rfam family "Bacterial small subunit ribosomal RNA", at positions 338 to 795 of the family's 1533-position model. The record is from RNAcentral.
CCUACGGGUGGCAGCAGUGGGGAAUAUUGGGCAAUGGGCGCAAGCCUGACCCAGCAACACCGCGUGAAGGAAGAAGGCUUUCGGGUUGUAAACUUCUUUUGACAGGGAAGAGUAGAAGCCGGUACCUGUCUGAUAAGCCACGGCUAACUACGGGCCAGCAGCCGCGGUCAUACGUAGGUGGCAAGCGGUGUCCGGAUUUACUGGGUGUAAAGGGCGUGUAGCCGGGUUGACAAGUCAGAUGUGAAAUCCGUCGGCUUAAACGCAGGACCGCAGUUGAAACUGUUGAUCUUGAGUAAUGGAGAGGCAGACGGAAUUCCUAGUGUAGCGGUGAAAUGCAUAGAUAUUAGGAGGAACACCAGUGGCGAAGGCAGUCUGCUGGACAGCAACUGACGGUGAGGCGCGAAAGCGUGGGGAGCAAACAGGAUUAGAUACCCCUGUAGUC